Cicer arietinum (chickpea) is the source of this 226-nucleotide long non-coding RNA. RefSeq lists it as uncharacterized. The record is from RefSeq and is a predicted model, not a curated record. NCBI's taxonomy places the organism in Eukaryota, Viridiplantae, Streptophyta, Magnoliopsida, Fabales, Fabaceae.
CAUAGCUACUCUAAUUGUCAGCGCAUCAGUUGAUGCUGCACCAAAAUUGCCAUUUGAAAUCACAGGAAAGACUGUAGAGGAGGUACUUGAUGUAACCGUAAUGUUCUGUUAACGGUUGAGAUUGAAGUGGCAAAAGUAGUUGCGACAAUCAAAUUUGGAGCGGCAAUUGGAGUUGAUAGAGACUCAUCAACAGGAGAGUUAGAAGGGAAAGUUGCUCACCACCACG